RNAcentral lists this ribosomal RNA (442 nucleotides) under uncultured Bacillus sp. RNAcentral describes it as "bacterial SSU rRNA". It matches the Rfam family "Bacterial small subunit ribosomal RNA", at positions 349 to 782 of the family's 1533-position model. The record is from RNAcentral. Lineage: Bacteria; Bacillati; Bacillota; Bacilli; Caryophanales; Bacillaceae.
CAGCAGUAGGGAAUCUUCCGCAAUGGACGAAAGUCUGACGGAGCAACGCCGCGUGAGUGAAGAAGGCCUUCGGGUCGUAAAGCUCUGUUGCCGGGGAAGAACAAGUGCCGUUCGAACAGGGCGGUGCCUUGACGGUACCCGGCCAGAAAGCCACGGCUAACUACGUGCCAGCAGCCGCGGUAAUACGUAGGUGGCAAGCGUUGUCCGGAAUUAUUGGGCGUAAAGCGCGCGCAGGCGGCUUCUUAAGUCUGAUGUGAAAUCUUGCGGCUCAACCGCAAGCGGUCAUUGGAAACUGGGAGGCUUGAGUGCAGAAGAGGAGAGUGGAAUUCCACGUGUAGCGGUGAAAUGCGUAGAGAUGUGGAGGAACACCAGUGGCGAAGGCGGCUCUCUGGUCUGUAACUGACGCUGAGGCGCGAAAGCGUGGGGAGCAAACAGGAUUAGA